GCACUUUUAGUAUAAUUAGUAUUUUAGUUUUAGAUUCUAAAGGUUUUAGUGUA
This 53-nucleotide transfer RNA is filed under the name Allodiplogaster sp. MY-2022. RNAcentral describes it as "tRNA-Leu". Lineage: Eukaryota; Metazoa; Nematoda; Chromadorea; Rhabditida; Diplogasteridae. The record is from RNAcentral.